This 820-nucleotide ribosomal RNA is filed under the name uncultured Duganella sp. RNAcentral's name for it is "bacterial SSU rRNA". It matches the Rfam family "Bacterial small subunit ribosomal RNA", at positions 72 to 889 of the family's 1533-position model. The record is from RNAcentral. Lineage: Bacteria; Pseudomonadati; Pseudomonadota; Betaproteobacteria; Burkholderiales; Oxalobacteraceae.
CGCGGACUUCGGUCUGGCGGCGAGUGGCGAACGGGUGAGUAAUAUAUCGGAACGUACCCAAGAGUGGGGGAUAACGUAGCGAAAGUUACGCUAAUACCGCAUACGAUCUAAGGAUGAAAGCAGGGGAUCUUCGGACCUUGUGCUCCUGGAGCGGCCGAUAUCUGAUUAGCUAGUUGGUGAGGUAAAGGCUCACCAAGGCAACGAUCAGUAGCUGGUCUGAGAGGACGACCAGCCACACUGGAACUGAGACACGGUCCAGACUCCUACGGGAGGCAGCAGUGGGGAAUUUUGGACAAUGGGGGCAACCCUGAUCCAGCAAUGCCGCGUGAGUGAAGAAGGCCUUCGGGUUGUAAAGCUCUUUUGUCAGGGAAGAAAAGGGUCUGGCUAAUAUCCAGAUCUGCUGACGGUACCUGAAGAAUAAGCACCGGCUAACUACGUGCCAGCAGCCGCGGUAAUACGUAGGGUGCAAGCGUUAAUCGGAAUUACUGGGCGUAAAGCGUGCGCAGGCGGUUUUGUAAGUCUGUCGUGAAAUCCCCGGGCUUAACCUGGGAAUGGCGAUGGAGACUGCAAGGCUAGAGUUUGGCAGAGGGGGGUAGAAUUCCACGUGUAGCAGUGAAAUGCGUAGAGAUGUGGAGGAACACCGAUGGCGAAGGCAGCCCCCUGGGUCAAAACUGACGCUCAUGCACGAAAGCGUGGGGAGCAAACAGGAUUAGAUACCCUGGUAGUCCACGCCCUAAACGAUGUCUACUAGUUGUUGGGUCUUAAUUGACUUAGUAACGCAGCUAACGCGUGAAGUAGACCGCCUGGGGAGUACGGUCGC